GCCUGGAGCACAGGGCUUGCUCCCCUCAGCUCUUCAGCAUCAGGGGUGGGGGGUUCUCAAGCAGGAAUCAGGAGGAGGAGCGGGUGGCCAGAAGAACACACACGACGGACAGACAGACAGUGCAGUCACCCAUAAAGUAGAAAGCACUACUAACAGCACUGGAGGGUGUAGUGUUUCCUACUUUAUGGAUGAGUGUACUGUGGGCUUCGGAGACCACACCAUGCCGCCGCCACCCGCCACCAUCUUCCUGUGCCUCAGGACCAUGUGAGACAGGUGAGCACCUCUUGCACCCUUCCCACGCCACUCAGACCCCUAAAAGGCCUUCCCUGCCCCACAUAGGGCUGUCCUUCGUGGUCCCUUACAACUGCAGCUCUGCCCUGCCCAAAUCCUGAGCGGGUGGGAGAGGGCUGAACAUGUGGGCCUGGUGCCGCAGCCACAGGUGGCCGUGGGACAGGAGGGAAAGAAGGACUGGGUGGGGGGCUGGCGCCCCAACACUAAUAAAGAAUGGAUUCUGCUUCUCUUUUGUCUGAGACUCUGUUGCUGGGUUGGGGGUGCCGAGUGUGGGUAGCAGGCCCCCCGGGCAGCAUGGACACGCAACCCUGGGAGGGGGAUCCUCUCAGUUGUCCAAGAGAAAGGGGUUUGGUUCUGCCCACAACGGCUGAAGAGGCUCCAGGCCUGGUUGGGAUGCAGCCCAAUGAAAGAAGGGCCUGGGCUGCUAGGUGAGAAUCUCCUGCAGUCUGAAGAAAGGGGCAGAGAUAUGAGGGGCCCCCCACCUUGGGCCCAGCUCCAGUCCUGGUCUGUUUUCUAUUCAUUCUCUAUACUCCCCAAACUUAAGGCUGCUUACAUUUUUUUUGGUGGUGCUAGGGAUUGAACCAGGGCCUUUGCAUUGAGCUACAUCCUUAUUUGCUUAUUUAUUUGGACAGGCUCUCACUAAGUUGCUCAGUACAGGUUCAAACUUACGAUCCCUCUGCCUCAGUCUCUCAGAGUGCUGGCAUUAUAGGCAUGCACCAUGGUGCCUGGCUACCUCUGGUUUUAAUCUAUGUCUGUCUUUAUCCCAUGUUUUGAGUCAGGGUCUCUCUUUGUAGCCUAGGCUAGCCUCAGAAAUCACACUCUUCCUGCUUCAUUCUCUGGAAUGCUGGGAUUAUAGGCCUGUGCCACCACGGCUGGCUAGAGAGUCAUUGAUAGUAUAAAAAUUAGGCAGAAACAUUACGGCAUACUGUGUGCAUAGCACCUUAUACAUAAAUAAGGGCACAGAUACUAAUAUACAAAGUGCACAUGCACUAGCAUGGGUGUGCAUUUACAUAAAGGCUCUAUACACGUGCUGGCAACAUACACAUGCAAUGACAUAGACAUAGGACAUGGCUGGUAUGUCACACAAUGACACAUGGUUAUACACUCACCCAGGACACACACGUUCAGCAGUAUCCACAUGUACAAUAAUAUAAAACAUGAUAUGUCACUACCUAUACAAAGAUAUAGUGACAUUCACAUAAACAGUGGCUCCAAACACAUAAACACACAAUGACAUUUUCAUACAUGACAAUAUAAAAUAGAUACAUGUGGGGGGUUUUUUGGUACUGAGGAUCAAACUCGGGACCUUGUGCUUGCAGGCAGGCGGCAGAACCACUGAGCUAAAUCCCCAGCCCAUAAAAUAGAUACAUGGAGCCAGGUGUGGUGGUGCAUGCCUCUAAUCCCAGCCCUCAGCAGGCUGAGGUGGAAGGAGCAUCCAGAGUUGAAGGCCAGUCUGGACUACAUAGUAAGUUCAAAGCCAGGGUGGUCUACAUAGUGAGACCCUGCCUCAUAAAACCAAAAUAAUAAAAAUAAAAUAGAUACAUGAUGUUUAUACACAUACUUUAUUCAUUAACUCCCCAUACCCAUGGGUUCUGCAUCCAUGGAUUCAACCAACCUUGUCAAAAAUAUUUGAAAAACUUGUGCUUGUACUUACAAUCUACAAGCUUUCCUCCCCUUGUCAUUAUUCUCUAAAUGCAAUAUAACAAGUUUACUUGGCAUUUACAUUAUAUUAAAUUUUUUUGUUUUAUCUUUUGAGAUGAUUUUUUUUUGGGUACCAGGGAUUAAACUCAGGUCCUUGCGCUUGCUUAGCAGGUGGCAAAACCACUGAGCUAAAUCCCUGGCCCUGUUUUGUCUUUUUUUUUUUGGUACCGGGAUUGAACUCGGGUCCUUGCGCUUGCACAGCAGGCGGCCAAACCACUGAGCUAAAUCCCCAGCCCCUGUUUUAUCUUUUGAGACAAGGUCUUACUAUGUAGUUCAGGCUGGCCUUGAACUCACUAUGUAGCCCAGGUUGGCCUCAAAUUCACAGAGAUCCUACUGCAGCCUCCUGAGUGCUGGGAUUACAGGCAUGCGCCACCAUGCCCAGCUACAUUAUAUUAAAUAUUAUAGGCAAUCUAGAGAUGAUUUUAUUUUUCUUUUGUUUUGUUUGUUUUUUGGUGCCAGGGAUCGAACUCAGGACCUUGUGCUUGGGAGGCAGGCGGCAGAACCACUGAGCUAAAUCCCUGGCCCUACACUAUUAUAUCUUUUUUUUUCUGUACCAGGGAUCGAGCUUGGGAUCUCUAGAGAUGAUUUUAAAAGUGUACAGGAGAGGCUGGGGAUGUAGCUCAGUGAUAGAACACUUGCCUAGUAUAUACAAGGUCCUGCGUUAGACCCCAGCACCACACAUACUAAAAUAGUAUAUGGUAGCAUCUAUGUAGAUUAUGUGCAAGUACUAUACUUCUUUUUUUUUGAGACAGGGUCUUUCUAUGUAUCCCAGGCUGGCUUGGAAGGUCCUGCAAGUGCUGGGAUUACAGGUGUGGGCAACCACAGCUAGCUAUAUACCAUUUUAUUUAAGGAAGUUGAAUGUCAGUGAAUUUUGGUAUCCUGGGGAGAGAGGUCCUGGAACCAAUCCCCCUUCAAGCACUGAGGGAUGAAUAUAUAUAGAAUAUAUUAUAUUUAUAUAUUAUAUUAAUAUUAAUAUAUUGUAUAUUAUAUACA
Molecule: long non-coding RNA, 2985 nt
Organism: Heterocephalus glaber (naked mole-rat)
Lineage: Eukaryota; Metazoa; Chordata; Mammalia; Rodentia; Bathyergidae
Source: Ensembl